RNAcentral lists this ribosomal RNA (492 nucleotides) under uncultured bacterium. RNAcentral's name for it is "partial 16S ribosomal RNA". It matches the Rfam family "Bacterial small subunit ribosomal RNA", at positions 28 to 523 of the family's 1533-position model. The record is from RNAcentral.
GACGAACGCUGGCUGCGUGCUUAACACAUGCAAGUCGAACGCUGAAACCCUGGUGCUUGCACCGGGGUGGAUGAGUGGCGAACGGGUGAGUAACACGUGAGUAACCUGCCCCCGACUUCGGGAUAAGCCCGGGAAACUGGGUCUAAUACCGGAUAUGAGCGCCCCUCGCAUGAGGGAUGCUGGAAAGUCUUUUCGGUUGGGGAUGGGCUCGCGGCCUAUCAGUUUGUUGGUGAGGUAAUGGCUCACCAAGACGACGACGGGUAGCCGGCCUGAGAGGGCGAGCAGCCAGACUGGGACUGAGACACGGCCCAGACUCCUACGGGAGGCAGCAGUGGGGAAUAUUGCACAAUGGGGGAAACCAUGAUGCAGCGACGCAGCGUGCGGGAUGACGGCCUUCGGGUUGUAAACCGCUUUCAGCAGGGAAGAAGCCCCUUGGGGUGACGGUACCUGCAGAAGAAGUACCGGCUAACUACGUGCCAGCCGCCGCAGUAA